CCUACGGGUGGCAGCAGUGGGGAAUAUUGCACAAUGGGGGGAACCCUGAUGCAGCGACGCCGCGUGAGCGAAGAAGCACUUCGGUGUGUAAAGCUCUAUCAGCAGGGAAGAAAAUGACGGUACCUGACUAAGAAGCCCCGGCUAACUACGUGCCAGCAGCCGCGGUAAUACGUAGGGGGCAAGCGUUAUCCGGAUUUACUGGGUGUAAAGGGGGCGCAGACGGCGGUGCAAGCCAGGUGUGAAAGCCCGGGGCUCAACCCCGGGACUGCACUUGGAACUGCGUGGCUGGAGUGCAGGAGGGGCAGGCGGAAGUCCUGGUGUAGCGGUGAAAUGCGUAGAUAUCAGGAGGAACACCAGUGGCGAAGGCGGCCUGCUGGACUGUAACUGACGUUGAGGCUCGAAAGCGUGGGGAGCAAACAGGAUUAGAUACCCCGGUAGUC
Molecule: ribosomal RNA, 440 nt
Filed under: uncultured bacterium
Lineage: Bacteria
Description: partial 16S ribosomal RNA
Rfam family: Bacterial small subunit ribosomal RNA
Source: RNAcentral